Nymphaea colorata (pocket water lily) is the source of this 4495-nucleotide RNA transcript. RefSeq lists it as uncharacterized. The record is from RefSeq and is a predicted model, not a curated record. The transcript is spliced from 25 exons. Lineage: Eukaryota; Viridiplantae; Streptophyta; Magnoliopsida; Nymphaeales; Nymphaeaceae.
UCGCCGUCACCCAAACAACCCGAAACAGGGUUGCGAAAUCGGCGUUUCGCAGUGUCACCCAAACGCAGCUCCACUUUUCCCCUUCUUCUCCUGCAAAUUGGGAAGAGAGAGAGAGCGAGAGAGAGAGAGAGAGGGAAGAGAAGAGGGAAGGGAAAGGCUCGCAAGGGACGUCUCCCUUCCUUCCUGUCCGCCAUGGAAGACGAGAUACUCCUCAAGCUCGCUCAGGAAUACAGCGUAGUACGGAAUUCCGGUCAUUCGGACGCGUCUUCGUCCAGCUCACAGGAGUUCAACCUUCCUCUCGACGUUUCUUUUGACUUGGGAUAUCAUCUGCUGGUGAAAGCCAUUCAAGAACUUCGAAGAAAAAAGAGUUGCCUUAUCACAGUAGGCAUAGGUGGCCCCAGUGGCUCUGGCAAGACCAGCUUAGCCAAGAAGAUAGCAUCAGUCUUUGGUUGUUUUGUCAUAUCAAUGGAGGACUACCAGAAUGGACUUGAUAUUGGAAAUGAAUUGGAUUCGAUAGACUUGGAAGAAUUAAGGAAAAACCUUAUGGAUUUGUUGAAGGGGAAUUCCGUAGAAGUACCUAUAUUUGACUUUCAGAAGAAGGCACGUGUUGGACAGAGGAUAUUGGACGGUUGCUCACCUGGAGUAGUGAUAGUUGAUGGUGUUUUUGCCUUACAUUCAUCAUUGCAACCAUUGCUGGAUUUUCGGGUUGCAGUUGUUGGUGGUGUUCAUUUCAGUCUUUUGAGUAAAGUCAACAAUGAUAUUGGGAAUAUGUGUUCACUAGAAAACCUUGUUGACAGCAUCUUCCCAUUGUUCAGAAAUUACAUUGAACCAGACCUUAACUGUGCACAGAUCAGAAUCAACAAUAGCUUUGUCUCAUCCUUUAGGGAGCCUAUCUACAAGCUAAAGUGCAAUAAGCCACCAGGUUCACCUGCAACUUUCCCAUUUCAUGGAAGCGAAACACGAAGUGAGGAUUAUAUUGAGAUGUUCCUGAGAUCACCAACUGCUACUGAACAAGCUAACAUUAGCGAUUGGAUAAAGGUGCGGCAAUGUGGAAUCAAAUAUUACUUGUCACUUGGUGAUCAGAGGCUUGUUCAUCAGAACUACAUUCUCCGGCCUAAAGCUGAAUUUGAGGUUGGACGGACAACAUUGGGUGGACUAUUGCAGCUGGAUUACAAAGUUAUUAUUAGUUAUAAACGUAGAUCGACAUCUAUCAACAAAGGUGGAGUCUCCAUUUUGCUGGAAAGUAUUGAUGAGCUUGGUGAGACAUUUUUGGUCUUAAAGGGCACAAGCAGGAAAGUGGUUGAGGCUGAGGCAGCUUUGCUUGGGGUCAAGGGUCCAUGGAUCACCAAAUCCUAUUUGGCUAUGCUUAUAGAGAGUAAAGCUGUGCCACCGCUUUCUACACCAGUCUCACAUCCAGGGAGGAAAACCCAUGAAACAAUGGCUUCCAUCUCACAUUGUUUCCCUUCUUCUCAUAUGGAGCUUAUUAGCCGAGGUCUCUCACAAGAACCACCUUCAGAUUCUUCUGCUUUGAGGCAUGCAGCUCAGCAUCUUCCUGCUAAUAAAUUUUAUAACUUUGAUGAGGGAUUCCUUGUUUCCAUAUUGAAGAUUCAGAUAUUGUUGGAGAACAAAGGGUUUCCAGUAAUUGUGGGAAUUGGUGGACCCAGUGGUUCUGGUAAGAGUAGUAUGGCCUGUAAAUUGGCCAAUAUUGUUGGUUGCGAGGUCAUUUCUUUGGAAAGCUAUUAUAUACCUGAGAGGGUGACAGCCUUUAUGAACGACAAUAUCCGGUCUCUUGAUAUAUCUCUAAUUUUGGAGCAGACUAUCAAUGACAUAAAAACCAAGAAGAGGACAAAAGUCCCUGUGUUUGAUUUUGAGAGUCGUUCUCGUAAGGGGUUCCGCAAGUUAUCUGUUAUGGAAGAUUGUGGUGUGGUAAUUUUCGAGGGGAUACAUGCUCUGCAUCCUGAAGUACGGACUUCUUUUGAUUUGCUGAUUGCUGUUGUUGGUGGGGUGCAUUCCCAUUUGAUUGACAGAGUCAUGAAGGACCAGAGAAUGGCAGGCGGCACUGCAUCUGAGGAGGAGAUUAUGAAUACCGUAUUUCCAAUGUUCCAGCAAAAUAUCAAACCUCAUCUUGCUGAUGCCGAUAUUAAAAUACAGAAUGACUUUGAUCCUGUACUUUCACCAGAAAGUUCAUUAUUUGUUUUGAAAAGUAACAGGAAGGUAUCACAGCAUGCAAUAAAGAAGGUUCUUGACUCUGAGAAGCUGAGGAGCUCAGUUCAGAAAUUUACGGACAUAUAUUUGAUGCCACCUAUGAAGCGCCUGAGCGAGCAGCUUGCAGAAAGAGAGUUUGUACGUGUCAGAAUGUGUGAAGGCAGAUUUGCUUUGUUGAUAAGAGAGCCUAUCAGGGAAGGGGACUAUAUUUUGCAGCCUAAAGUGGAUUUUGACAUCAACGUUUGUACAGUCAGUGGACUGUUAAAGCUUGGAGCCAGUGGCGUGAUCACUUCAGGCUGCCGGCGACUGGCAGAUUUCCGGCGAUCUCCUCUCCGAUCCACUAGUGGAACAUGCCGUGGCUGCUGGGAUCUUGUCGUUGUUGCUGAUCAAAGAUUGCUUGUCGCUGACAUGGUGUGGCUGCUGGGAUCCUGUCGUUGCUGCUGAUCUAAGAUUGCUUGUUGCUGCUGCUGAUCAUGGAGAUGGCUUGUUGACGUUGCUGAUUGUGGAACAGCAAGAUGUGGACUUGCUGUUUGAAAGUUGAGGUUGGGAACAGAAAAAACAGCGACAAUCUUCGUCUGUACCAGGCUGUGGCAUACAUAUCUGCUUCUGCAACCAUUUAUCAGGAUGACAAGGUUGGGGUAACUAUUGUUCACAAUUCUUGGAAGCCUCUGGGCUUUGAUACCUUUGUUAGCAUCGGCUAACAACUCACUCACACACCCCCACUUGAAGCCAGCUUCAGAGAAUAAUUAUAUUGCUUCUUAGGUUUCUAAUCCCCAUUAAGAGCUAUGUAUGUAUCCUCAAUACUAGUUAUUGGGUUUAUUAUCAACUAACUAUUUACCUAAUCCAACCAACGACUUACAUAAGGGUCAUAUCCAUCCGACUCACAAACCCACAUCUAAAAUAGGAAAAAUGAGAGAAUAAGAAAAUUGGUCAGCGGUUCGGUUCUGUCCAGAUCUUACAAGAACUAUCUGAACCUUGGAGCCGGCAGUCUUAGAGAGAGAAUAACUUGUUAUUUACUAACCCUAAUCUCAAUAAUAAAGAGAUUAGGGCAAAGGUAGAGACUUACAAAUAACAUCAACUAAAAAUAGAGGAAUGUUUAAAGAGAACUCCUAACUAUUAAAUAUUGCAAAGAACCACCUAGAAACUUAAAGUCUUCUAAUUCAACAGAUACCAUGUAAAUCAAGCCCCAAUACCAACUGGUUGGUGCCCAGCCUCAAGAGAGGUCAGUCAAACAACUUGGCCACUUAGCCAAAACAAAGUUUUCACACUAUUAAUCCAGAAACAAAUACAAGAAGAAGGCACUCAGGCAAUUGUUUACAAUGGGAAAGGCUUCCAUUAUUUAUAGACAGCAAAAGGAGAAGUAGAGGAAGGGAGGUAGUUCCAACGGCUAGCAAAUGGCCAGCUCAAUCAGCUCAGCUGUUUAACAGCUGAACCAAAUAAAACAUAAAAAAGUAAAGAAAGAAAAAUUAAAAAAAAAGAAAAAGAAAAAUAAGAUGAACAUAUAAAAGUUACAAGAACAUUAUAUAUGUAUAUACAUACAUACUCAAGUCAAACCUCAAUGAGUGAUUGACGCAUACUUACAUAAUUUCUAAUGCUUCAUUAUACUGUUACUCUACUAAAAGAACACUCAUUGAGGUUUACUAUAAGAUUAAAUGAUGCAAAACAAGUACAUUAUAUGUCAUGGCAAAGAACAUUAUGAUAUCAAAAUGCAUCUAAUAUCAAAUCUGUCCAUGUGAGAUAAGGCUAACGAAUUGCACAAUGUGCCAUUUAUAUUCCUUUAAAGUUUAAACAGUGCAUGUACAAUUACUGAGUCGUUCAUUCUUCUAACCCAAAGUAAUGUGCCGUUCAUGGUACUGCUUCUCAAAUUUUGUUUAUCAUGCUGCGUGAUUGUCGUCUGAAUGUCUGGUUGCCAUUUGGAACAGUUAUUAUUUUCCCUGACAUGUACAUUCUAAAUAAAUCUCAACUCCAGCACUUUGAAACCUUGAAGGUCAUCCUUUUGGAAAAAGGCUAAGAAGUGGAAAAAGAUAUUAAAGUCUUGUCGUAAUGAAUGUAUAUUGUUUUGAGGACCUGCAGUGUCAACACCAUUUUCUUUAAAAAUAUUGGUUUGUUGUCCAUUGCUUUUUCUCACUCACCUCCUACAGAUUCUUAUAGAGGUGGAUGAAUUUGAGGAUGCAGCAACAUGUUACCUUCAGAUUAAAGGAUUGAAUAAAGAAGCAGUAGCUGCGGCAGCCUCUGCACUUGAUCUGAAUGGUUCAUAUACUACCAAGAAUUAUCUUCAAAUUAUUUUGGA